GAUGAACGCUGGCGGCGUGCUUAACACAUGCAAGUCGAACGGAAAGGUCCAAGCUUGCUUGGGUACUCGAGUGGCGAACGGGUGAGUAACACGUGGGUGAUCUGCCCUGCACUUCGGGAUAAGCCUGGGAAACUGGGUCUAAUACCGGAUAGGACCACUUCUUGGAUGUUGUGGUGGAAAGUUUUUUCGGUGUGGGAUGAGCUCGCGGCCUAUCAGCUUGUUGGUGGGGUAAUGGCCUACCAAGGCGUCGACGGGUAGCCGGCCUGAGAGGGUGUACGGCCACAUUGGGACUGAGAUACGGCCCAGACUCCUACGGGAGGCAGCAGGGGGGAAUAUUGCACAAUGGGCGCAAGCCUGAUGCAGCGACGCCGCGUGGGGGAUGACGGCCUUCGGGUUGUAAACUCCUUUCGCUAGGGACGAAGCGUUUUGUGACGGUACCUGGAGAAGAAGCACCGGCUAACUACGUG
RNAcentral lists this ribosomal RNA (467 nucleotides) under uncultured bacterium. RNAcentral's name for it is "partial 16S ribosomal RNA". It matches the Rfam family "Bacterial small subunit ribosomal RNA", at positions 28 to 507 of the family's 1533-position model. The record is from RNAcentral.